UGAGGAAUAUUGGUCAAUGGGGGCAACCCUGAACCAGCCAAGUCGCGUGAAGGAUGAAGGUCUUAUGGAUUGUAAACUUCUUUUACACGGGAAUAAAGUGGGGGACGUGUCCCCCUUUGCAUGUACCGUGUGAAUAAGGAUCGGCUAACUCCGUCCCAGCAGCCGCGGUAAUACGGAGGAUCCGAGCGUUAUCCGGAUUUAUUGGGUUUAAAGGGUGCGCAGGAGGGAUGUUAAGUCGGCGGUGAAAUUUUGCAGCUCAACUGUAAAAGUGCCUUCGAUACUGGCCUCCUUGAGUGUGGAUGAAGUAGGCGGAAUUUGUGGUGUAGCUGUGAAAUGCUUAGAUAUCACGAGGAACUCCGAUUGCGCAGGCAGCUUACUAAGCCACAACUGACGCUCAUGCACGAAGGCGUGGGGA
Molecule: ribosomal RNA, 415 nt
Filed under: uncultured bacterium
Lineage: Bacteria
Description: bacterial SSU rRNA
Rfam family: Bacterial small subunit ribosomal RNA
Source: RNAcentral